RNAcentral lists this ribosomal RNA (442 nucleotides) under uncultured bacterium. RNAcentral's name for it is "partial 16S ribosomal RNA". It matches the Rfam family "Bacterial small subunit ribosomal RNA", at positions 338 to 795 of the family's 1533-position model. The record is from RNAcentral.
CCUACGGGUGGCAGCAGUGGGGGAUAUUGCACAAUGGGGGAAACCCUGAUGCAGCGACGCCGCGUGGGCGAAGAAGUAUUUCGGUAUGUAAAGCUCUAUCAGCAGGGAAGAAGAAAUGACGGUACCUGAGUAAGAAGCACCGGCUAAAUACGUGCCAGCAGCCGCGGUAAUACGUAAGGUGCAAGCUUUAUCCGGAUUUACUGGGUGUAAAGGGAGCGCAGGCGGCACGGCAAGCCUGAUGGGAAAGCCCGGGGCCCAACCGCGGGACUGCAUUGGGAACUACCGGGCUGGAGUGGCGGAGAGGUAGGCGGAAUGCCUGGUGUAGCGGUGAAAUGCGUAGAUAUUAGGAAGAACACCAGUGGCGAAGGCAGCCUACUGGACGGUGACUGACGCUGAGGCUCGAAAGCGUGGGGAGCAAACAGGAUUAGAUACCCCUGUAGUC